UUACCUACGGAAGCCGAGAACGGCCAUCGAUUAUUAAUUUUUUUAUGCACUGUUAUCUCGUGAUAACGACUUAUUAUCUCGUUUUCUCGAUAUAACAAAGGUCGUUUUCUCGUGAUAACGAAUUAAUUAUCUUGUUUUCUCGAUAUAACAAAGGUCGUUUUCUCGUGAUAACGAAUUAAUUAUCUCGUUUUCUCGAUAUAACAAAGAUCGUUUUCUCGUGAUAACGAAUUAAUUAUUUCGUUAUCUCGAUAUAACAGACAGACUUUUGGCGCUGGUUAAUGUGAUCGUGCUGAUUUCAGCCUACGAGAGCUUCCACUGUCUGAUCCAGGUGUGUCCCAGGGAGGUGAAAAUGGCAGAUCACAUUAUUGAUCAACGCAUCAGGACCUACUUCAACCAAGGUCUAACACAGGCAGAAAUUGCAUUGUGCC
Long non-coding RNA from Gadus macrocephalus (Pacific cod), 428 nucleotides. RefSeq lists it as uncharacterized. The transcript has 2 exons. NCBI's taxonomy places the organism in Eukaryota, Metazoa, Chordata, Actinopteri, Gadiformes, Gadidae. The record is from RefSeq and is a predicted model, not a curated record.